Neogale vison (American mink) is the source of this 896-nucleotide long non-coding RNA. RefSeq lists it as uncharacterized. The record is from RefSeq and is a predicted model, not a curated record. Lineage: Eukaryota; Metazoa; Chordata; Mammalia; Carnivora; Mustelidae. The transcript has 2 exons.
GUUUGAGAAAUGGACAAACCCCGAGCUUUGGCACAACCACGAAGAACUCGGGAACUUUUUACCAGACUGGUGAACUUCUGUGGUCCUUCCUGGGUGUCCGCGUGGAAGUACCGAGGGCAGAGGCCAGGAAGACACGUUUUCCACUUGUGCACGUGAAGAUCUGUCGUCGGCGCCAAAACUGAUCUGUGUGCAGUUCUGCUCGGUGUGGGAAGUUAGGGGAGAGUCCAUGCUGUUCUGCAAUGAAAAAAAAGUCCAGUUUUAAUCCCUUCCUCAUCCAGUCCCCGGGCUCUUCAGCUUUCCACCGACCACCCUCCAGAGAAACUUCCUUGGGGCUCAUGCUUGGAGCCAUGGAAGGCAACAUUGCGAGUGACACCUCUUUUCUUUUCUUUUCUUUUCUUUCUUUCUUUCUUUUUUCUUAAACACACAGGAACUAAGUUGGUGCAGGUCUGAGGGAUAAUUAAACGAAAACGGGCCUCCCAAGUUGGGGCAUGAGCACACUGAUUUCUGGGGGCAGGAAGCCUUGGGGUCAGCACCUGUGAUGUGUCUGGUGAUGACACCCUUCUCGUUCAUGAGGCUGUAGUGAGAAACCACUAUCCAAAAAGAGAUGACGGCUCUAUAUUUGCUUUGUAAGCAAAAGGCAUGUAUCAUAGUUGCAUCUAAAAUAGUGUCCACAUCUUUACCAAAGGCACUGAAUUUUACCCGUUUUUAUGACCUGGUGGCCUCCCCUUCCUCGGGAGGCAUUUCAGGUGCCCCCUCCCCCACUCCAUGCCACGCUCAUUCUUUCUCCCGAAAAUACAUCCAUUGUCUGUACUAUAAAAUGAUGCCUGCAACUUUGUGGUGAUAUUAUCCCCUGAGUUUAACAGUGAAAUAAGGAAAUAAAACUAUUAAUAAACAAA